This 423-nucleotide ribosomal RNA is filed under the name uncultured bacterium. RNAcentral describes it as "bacterial SSU rRNA". It matches the Rfam family "Bacterial small subunit ribosomal RNA", at positions 361 to 776 of the family's 1533-position model. The record is from RNAcentral.
AUUUUGGACAAUGGGGGCAACCCUGAUCCAGCCAUUCCGCGUGUGUGAUGAAGGCCUUCGGGUUGUAAAGCACUUUUGGCAGGAAAGAAAUGGCACGGGUUAAUACCCUGGGUGGAUGACGGUACCUGCAGAAUAAGCACCGGCUAACUACGUGCCAGCAGCCGCGGUAAUACGUAGGGUGCAAGCGUUAAUCGGAAUUACUGGGCGUAAAGCGUGCGUAGGCGGUUCGGAAAGAAAGAUGUGAAAUCCCAGGGCUCAACCUUGGAAUGGCAUUUUUAACUCCCGAGCUAGAGUGUGUCAGAGGGGGGUGGAAUUCCGCGUGUAGCAGUGAAAUGCGUAGAGAUGCGGAGGAACACCGAUGGCGAAGGCAGCCCCCUGGGAUAACACUGACGCUCAGGCACGAAAGCGUGGGGAGCAAACAGG